RNAcentral lists this ribosomal RNA (704 nucleotides) under Nelumbo nucifera (sacred lotus). RNAcentral's name for it is "eukaryotic LSU rRNA". The stretch from base 273 to 428 matches the Rfam family "5.8S ribosomal RNA". The record is from RNAcentral. Lineage: Eukaryota; Viridiplantae; Streptophyta; Magnoliopsida; Proteales; Nelumbonaceae.
GUUUCUGUAGGUGAACCUGCGGAAGGAUCAUUGUCGAUGCCUGCCCCACGGAAAGACCUGUGAACAUGUGAUGCCCGCAAGGGCCCAUGAGGGGUGGUCUUGGGGUAUGACAUCCAUGGCCACCUCUCGCUUGUUAGGGGUUGCUCUUGACACAUUGUCUCGUGGCCUCCUAGCUAACAACCAACUCCGGGCGUGGAUGGCGCCAAGGAAUCUCCAUGGAAGGGUGCAUAAUCCCAACAUUGUUGGGUGUUUUGCCUCUAUAUUCAAAAAACGACUCUCGGCAACGGAUAUCUCGGCUCUCGCAUCGAUGAAGAACGUAGCGAAAUGCGAUACUUGGUGUGAAUUGCAGAAUCCCGUGAACCAUCGAGUCUUUGAACGCAAGUUGCGCCCGAGGCCUUUGGGCCAAGGGCAUGCCUGCCUGGGCGUCACGCAUCGUUGCCCUUCCCUCCCUUUCCCCAUUAGGUGUUGGAGAGUUGGUGCAGAUGUUGGCCUCUCGUUCCGUUUUGGUGCGGUUGGCCCAAAUGAUGGCCCCCGACAACAAAGUGCCACGACGGUUGGUGGUUCAAUCUUAGGUGGUGGAAUGCUGGACGUUGUGCACGUUGUGUUGUCAUUGGGGUGUCGAGUGUGUGACCCGAUUAGGGAUCCGUUGUUGACGGAGCCUGCCUUGCGACCCCAGGUCAGGCGGGGCCACCCGCUGAAUUUAA